AUUGAACGCUAGCGGGAUGCCUUACACAUGCAAGUCGAACGGAGUGGCGAACGGGUGAGUAAUGUAUCGGAACGUGCCCAGUAGCGGGGGAUAACUACGCGAAAGCGUAGCUAAUACCGCAUACUAUCGGAGCGGCCGAUAUCGGAUUAGCGAGUUGGUGGGGUAAAGGCUCACCAAGGCGACGAUCCGUAGCGGGUUUGAGAGGACGACCAGCCACACUGGGACUUAGACACGGCCCAGACUCCUACGGGAGGCAGCAGUGGUGAAUUUUGGACACUGGGGGAAACCCUGAUCCAGCCAUCCCGCGUGUGCGAUGAAGGCCUUCGGGUUGUAAAGCACUUUUGGCAGGAAAGCGGUACCUUCAGAAUAAGCACCGGCUAACUACGUGCCAGCCGCCGCGUUAAUAC
Molecule: ribosomal RNA, 407 nt
Filed under: uncultured bacterium
Lineage: Bacteria
Description: partial 16S ribosomal RNA
Rfam family: Bacterial small subunit ribosomal RNA
Source: RNAcentral